This 432-nucleotide ribosomal RNA is filed under the name uncultured bacterium. Its description in RNAcentral is "partial 16S ribosomal RNA". It matches the Rfam family "Bacterial small subunit ribosomal RNA", at positions 29 to 506 of the family's 1533-position model. The record is from RNAcentral.
AAUGAACGCUGGCGGCAGGCCUAACACAUGCAAGUCGAGCGAGCAUUUCGGUGCUAGCGGCGGACGGGUGAGUAACGCGUGGGAACGUGCCCUUUUCUGCGGAAUAGUCCUGGGAAACUGGGGGUAAUACCGCAUACGCCCUUUUGGGGAAAGAUUUAUCGGAGAAGGAUCGGCCCGCGUUGGAUUAGGUAGUUGGUGGGGUAAUGGCCCACCAAGCCGACGAUCCAUAGCUGGUUUGAGAGGAUGAUCAGCCACACUGGGACUGAGACACGGCCCAGACUCCUACGGGAGGCAGCAUGGGGGAAUUUAAGACAAUGGGGGCAACCCUGAUCUAGCCAGCCCGGGGGAUUGAUGAAGGCCUUAGGGUUGUAAAGCCCUUUCAGCUGGGAAGAUAAUGACGGUACCAGCAAAAGAAGCCCCGGCUAACCCCGG